UCCUCGCCACCUUGUAGCUCUCCCUAUUCGCUCUCCUUUCCUCCUCGCUUGUGCUCCCUGCCAACUUAGCGAACGCCACUUUUUUUGCCUCCACUUUUCCUUGAACAUCGUUCCACCACCAGUCACCUAGAUGUCUGCCUGAAUAGCCCUUGGCUACCCCGAGCACAUCCCGCGCUGCCUCCCUAACUAGAUUUGCCGUCUCUGACCACAUUGCGUCCGCUUCGCCAGAACUCCU
This 235-nucleotide long non-coding RNA is filed under the name Nicotiana benthamiana. RNAcentral describes it as "long non-coding RNA (NBEN_LNC041607)". Lineage: Eukaryota; Viridiplantae; Streptophyta; Magnoliopsida; Solanales; Solanaceae. The record is from RNAcentral.